This 94-nucleotide transfer RNA is filed under the name Gemmatimonadales bacterium. RNAcentral describes it as "tRNA-Sec". It matches the Rfam family "Selenocysteine transfer RNA". The record is from RNAcentral. Lineage: Bacteria; Pseudomonadati; Gemmatimonadota; Gemmatimonadia; Gemmatimonadales.
GGGAGUGGAUUGGGCCUGGUGGCCUGAGCAGUCUUCAAAACUGUUUGGGGCUCGACUGAGCCUCGGUAGGUUCGAUUCCUACACGCUCCCGCCA